Non-coding RNA from Podarcis muralis (Common wall lizard), 800 nucleotides. Lineage: Eukaryota; Metazoa; Chordata; Lepidosauria; Squamata; Lacertidae. The record is from RefSeq and is a predicted model, not a curated record.
GAGGGUGGGUAAGGUGGGAGAAGCUCUGGAGCCAACUGACGAUUCCCAGGUACCUAAAUGGCUGUCACUGCAAAACCAAAAGUUUGUUCCUGAGGCCUCAAUAAAGCCUUUAAGCUGAAUCGUUGCCUUGGGUCUUUCGUGAACCCACAUCUACUUCAACUACAGUGUAACGAAAGCAGUCAAGCAAUAAAUGAAACGUUAAAAAAAUACACAAGCAAACUGAAGAACUUCCACAAAGAUCACAGCAACGUCUCAAAGAAAGGGCGUAUCUGCUGAGCAAUAGCCAGAGUGGUAGAGCUGGAUAAGAGGCACCCGCUUUCAAAUUUCAAGUUCAGUGAAGCUCACUAGGUGGUCUUGCCCAAGUCACCACUUCUUAGCCUAGUUCAGGGGUAGCUAAUGUAGUUUUCACCAGAUCUUGCUGGACUACAGCUCCAUUCAUCCUUGACCAGACAGAAGUUGUAGUCAAAGAGCAUCCAAAGGACAUCAUGUUGGCUAUCCCAAGCUAGACUGUCUCACAGAUAGGUUACUAAAAAGGCCAACCAGCAAAACAACCAUAGUACGUUUUGUGCUUUUGUCCCAGUGUGGGCUGCCAGUAUUGCCUUAUAUACCAAUAGUACUCUUACAAUAAAAUAUCCAUCCAUUGCAUUGUUCAUUGGUGCUCUCUGUAUGCUGAACCCUUGAUAAACACUGGUCUUGAUGACUGUUUUGUAUUGCAUCUCAAGGAUGUGGACAAGUGCAGAUAACCUGCCUCCUUGAUGCUUGCCCAUCAUCACUUGUUAGAUCUAACCACAGGAGGCUAU